UACAGAGGUCCCGAGCGUUGUUCGGAUUCACUAGGCGUAAAGGGUGCGUAGGCGGCUUUGCAAGUCUGAUGUGAGAUCUCCGGGCCCAACCCGGAAAUGGCAUUAGAAACUGUGAGGCUGGAGGCUUGGAGGGGGAACUGGAAUACUUGGUGUAGCAGUGAAAUGCGUAGAUAUCAAGUGGAACACCGGUGGCGAAGGCGGGUCUCUGGGCAGUAACUGACGCUGAGGAGCGAAAGCGUGGGGAGCGAACAGG
RNAcentral lists this ribosomal RNA (253 nucleotides) under uncultured bacterium. RNAcentral's name for it is "partial 16S ribosomal RNA". It matches the Rfam family "Bacterial small subunit ribosomal RNA", at positions 524 to 776 of the family's 1533-position model. The record is from RNAcentral.